Small nucleolar RNA from Gadus morhua (Atlantic cod), 110 nucleotides. The record is from Ensembl. NCBI's taxonomy places the organism in Eukaryota, Metazoa, Chordata, Actinopteri, Gadiformes, Gadidae.
CUCCAAUGAUGAUUCCGCCAUGCUAAUACCGAUGCUCCAGGUCAGACGUGUGUCUGCCUGGUGCACGUGAGUUCAACCUACCUUCUCACUGCAUAAGUGGGCUGGGGAGA